This is a non-coding RNA of Danio rerio (zebrafish), 627 nucleotides long. Lineage: Eukaryota; Metazoa; Chordata; Actinopteri; Cypriniformes; Danionidae. The record is from RefSeq and is a predicted model, not a curated record.
CUUAUCUGUGGUGUUCAUUUUCCAGAGGAAUGUCUGGCCAAAUAAGUAUAUAAACUGCAUGCUGGGUGCUACUCAUUUAUGAACCCAUGUAAAAUGAUUUGCUGUUCUGUGGUGGUAUUUUAGUCCAUAUUUAAAUGAUUUUAUUUUAUUUUUUUCAUAGGACAUCGUACAUGCUCUGGGUGUCUUGAGGAGCUUGUCUUUGGAUGAUGCUGAGCAGGUCUUUCUUUCUGGUAACGGUUAUCAUUACAGUGAAGUAAAAGAAUUUAACAGACAGAUUGACAAACAACUGACGAAAGAAGAGAGACCAUUCAAUAGAGGACUUCUAGAUGUAUCCAUAAUCCUGGACCAGACCGUAUCAUGAGCAGAUGCAGUGGUGGUCAUGGAGAAGUGGAGAGCAUGAGACUGAUUAAUGAAAGACCCCAGCGACAGAUGAGUGCCCACAUUGAUCCUGUGGUCCAGCCUGAAAACCCGCUGGUGCCCUACUCACACCAGCAGCUUCUCCACGAUGGAUGCCCAGUGUUCUUCAGCCUCCAGCGCUUAGACUGCAGCUCUGCACGUGAAGUGUGGCCAGAAGAGAAAUGGUUGUGCCCAACUGAGCCUGGUUUCUCUCAAGGUUUAUUCCUUCAC